Molecule: ribosomal RNA, 496 nt
Filed under: uncultured bacterium
Lineage: Bacteria
Description: partial 16S ribosomal RNA
Rfam family: Bacterial small subunit ribosomal RNA
Source: RNAcentral
GAUGAACGCUGGCGGCGUGCCUAAUACAUGCAAGUCGAACGCAUAGCGAAAGGUGCUUGCACCUUUCAAGUGAGUGGCGAACGGGUGAGUAACACGUGGACAACCUGCCUCAAGGCUGGGGAUAACAUUUGGAAACAGAUGCUAAUACCGAAUAAAACUUAGUGUCGCAUGACACAAAGUUAAAAGGCGCUUCGGCGUCACCUAGAGAUGGAUCCGCGGUGCAUUAGUUAGUAGGUGGGGUAAAGGCCUACCAAGACAAUGAUGCAUAGCUAAGUUGAGAAGCGGAUCGGCUACAUUGAGCUUGAGAGAGGGCCCAACGUCCAAGGGAGGGCUGCAGUGGGCAUUCUACGCAAUGGGCGAAAGCCUGAUGGAGCAACGCCGCGUGUGUGAUGAAGGCUUUCGGGUCGUAAAGCACUGUUGUAUGGGAAGAACAGCUAGAAUAGGAAAUGAUUUUAGUUUGACGGUACCAUACCAGAAAGGGACGGCUAAAUACGUG